This 417-nucleotide ribosomal RNA is filed under the name uncultured bacterium. RNAcentral describes it as "bacterial SSU rRNA". It matches the Rfam family "Bacterial small subunit ribosomal RNA", at positions 8 to 429 of the family's 1533-position model. The record is from RNAcentral.
AGAGUUUGAUCCUGGCUCAGAUUGAACGCUGGCGGAAUGCUUUACACAUGCAAGUCGAGCGGCAGCGCGGGGCAACCUGGCGGCGAGCGGCGAACGGGUGAGUAAUGCAUCGGAACAUGUCCAUUCGUGGGGGAUAGCCCGGCGAAAGCCGGAUUAAUACCGCAUAAGCCCUUAGGGGGAAAGCCGGGGACCGCAAGGCCUGGCGCGAAUGGGUUGGCCGAUGCCCGAUUAGCUAGUUGGUGAGGUAAAGGCUUACCAAGGCGAUGAUCGGUAGCUGGUCUGAGAGGAUGAUCAGCCACACUGGGACUGAGACACGGCCCAGACUCCUACGGGAGGCAGCAGUGGGGAAUUUUGGACAAUGGGGGCAACCCUGAUCCAGCCAUUCCGCGUGAGUGAAGAAGGCCUUCGGGUUGUAAA